This 200-nucleotide ribosomal RNA is filed under the name uncultured bacterium. RNAcentral describes it as "partial 16S ribosomal RNA". It matches the Rfam family "Bacterial small subunit ribosomal RNA", at positions 30 to 232 of the family's 1533-position model. The record is from RNAcentral.
AUUGAACGCUGGCGGCAUGCCUUACACAUGCAAGUCGAACGGUAACAGGUCUUCGGAUGCUGACGAGUGGCGAACGGGUGAGUAAUACAUCGGAACGUGCCCGAUCGUGGGGGAUAACGGAGCGAAAGCUUUGCUAAUACCGCAUACGAUCUACGGAUGAAAGCAUGGGACCGCAAGGCCUUGCGCGGACGGAGCGGCCG